This 467-nucleotide ribosomal RNA is filed under the name uncultured bacterium. Its description in RNAcentral is "partial 16S ribosomal RNA". It matches the Rfam family "Bacterial small subunit ribosomal RNA", at positions 28 to 506 of the family's 1533-position model. The record is from RNAcentral.
GACGAACGCUGGCGGCGUGCUUAACACAUGCAAGUCGAACGGAAAGGCCCUGCUUUUGUGGGGUGCUCGAGUGGCGAACGGGUGAGUAACACGUGAGUAACCUGCCCUUGACUUUGGGAUAACUUCAGGAAACUGGGGCUAAUACCGGAUAGGAGCUCCUACUGCAUGGUGGGGGUUGGAAAGUUUCGGCGGUUGGGGAUGGACUCGCGGCUUAUCAGCUUGUUGGUGGGGUAGUGGCUUACCAAGGCUUUGACGGGUAGCCGGCCUGAGAGGGUGACCGGCCACAUUGGGACUGAGAUACGGCCCAGACUCCUACGGGAGGCAACAGUGGGGAAUAUUGCACAAUGGGCGGAAGCCUGAUGCAGCAACGCCGCGUGCGGGAUGACGGCCUUCGGGUUGUAAACCGCUUUCGCCUGUGACGAAGCGUGAGUGACGGUAAUGGGUAAAGAAGCACCGGCUAACUACGU